AGCGAACGCUGGCGGCAGGCUUAACACAUGCAAGUCGAACGCUCGUAGCAAUACGGGAGUGGCAGACGGGUGAGUAACGCGUGGGAAUAUGCCUUUUGGUUCGGAAUAACUCAGGGAAACUUGAGCUAAUACCGGAUAAGCCCGUGAGGGGAAAGAUUUAUCGCCAAAAGAUUAGCCCGCGUCCGAUUAGCUAGUUGGCGAGGUAAUGGCUCACCAAGGCGACGAUCGGUAGCUGGUCUGAGAGGAUGAUCAGCCACAUUGGGACUGAGACACGGCCCAAACUCCUACGGGAGGCAGCAGUGGGGAAUAUUGGACAAUGGGCGCAAGCCUGAUCCAGCCAUGCCGCGUGAGUGGUGAAGGCCUUAGGGUUGUAAAGCUCUUUUGUCCGGGAAGAUAAUGACGGUACCGGAAGAAUAAGCCCCGGCUAACUUCGUGCCAGCCGCCGCCGUAA
This 451-nucleotide ribosomal RNA is filed under the name uncultured bacterium. RNAcentral's name for it is "partial 16S ribosomal RNA". It matches the Rfam family "Bacterial small subunit ribosomal RNA", at positions 29 to 523 of the family's 1533-position model. The record is from RNAcentral.